CAGCCGCCACGGGAAUACAGAGGGUGCGAGCGUUAAUCGGAUUUACUGGGCGUAAAGCGUGCGUAGGCGGCUUCUUAAGUCGGAUGUGAAAUCCCUGAGCUUAACUUAGGAAUUGCAUUCGAUACUGGGAAGCUAGAGUGUGGGAGAGGAUGGUAGAAUUCCAGGUGUAGCGGUGAAAUGCGUAGAGAUCUGGAGGAAUACCGAUGGCGAAGGCAGCCAUCUGGCCUAAUACUGACGCUGAGGUACGAAAGCAUGGGGAGCAAACAGGAUUAGAUACCCCCGUAGUCCCUGUCUCUUAUAU
This 301-nucleotide ribosomal RNA is filed under the name uncultured bacterium. RNAcentral describes it as "partial 16S ribosomal RNA". It matches the Rfam family "Bacterial small subunit ribosomal RNA", at positions 509 to 809 of the family's 1533-position model. The record is from RNAcentral.